UAUCCUGUCUGAAUAUGGGGGGACCAUCCUCCAAGGCUAAAUACUCCUGACUGACCGAUAGUGAACCAGUACCGUGAGGGAAAGGCGAAAAGAACCCCGGCGAGGGGAGUGAAAAAGAACCUGAAACCGUGUACGUACAAGCAGUGGGAGCACAGAGCAAUCUGUGUGACUGCGUACCUUUUGUAUAAUGGGUCAGCGACUUAUAUUCUGUAGCAAGGUUAACCGAAUAGGGGAGCCGAAGGGAAACCGAGUCUUAACUGGGCGUUAAGUUGCAGGGUAUAGACCCGAAACCCGGUGAUCUAGCCAUGGGCAGGUUGAAGGUUGGGUAACACUAACUGGAGGACCGAACCGACUAAUGUUGAAAAAUUAGCGGAUGACUUGUGGCUGGGGGUGAAAGGCCAAUCAAACCGGGAGAUAGCUGGUUCUCCCCGAAAGCUAUUUAGGUAGCGCCUCGUGAAUUCAUCUCCGGGGGUAGAGCACUGUUUCGGCAAGGGGGUCAUCCCGACUUACCAACCCGAUGCAAACUGCGAAUACCGGAGAAUGUUAUCACGGGAGACACACGGCGGGUGCUAACGUCCGUCGUGAAGAGGGAAACAACCCAGACCGCCAGCUAAGGUCCCAAAGUCAUGGUUAAGUGGGAAACGAUGUGGGAAGGCCCAGACAGCCAGGAUGUUGGCUUAGAAGCAGCCAUCAUUUAAAGAAAGCGUAAUAGCUCACUGGUCGAGUCGGCCUGCGCGGAAGAUGUAACGGGGCUAAACCAUGCACCGAAGCUGCGGCAGCGACACUGUGUGUUGUUGGGUAGGGGAGCGUUCUGUAAGCCUGUGAAGGUGUGCUGUGAGGCAUGCUGGAGGUAUCAGAAGUGCGAAUGCUGACAUAAGUAACGAUAAAGCGGGUGAAAAGCCCGCUCGCCGGAAGACCAAGGGUUCCUGUCCAACGUUAAUCGGGGCAGGGUGAGUCGACCCCUAAGGCGAGGCCGAAAGGCGUAGUCGAUGGGAAACAGGUUAAUAUUCCUGUACUUGGUGUUACUGCGAAGGGGGGACGGAGAAGGCUAUGUUGGCCGGGCGACGGUUGUCCCGGUUUAAGCGUGUAGGCUGGUUUUCCAGGCAAAUCCGGAAAAUCAAGGCUGAGGCGUGAUGACGAGGCACUACGGUGCUGAAGCAACAAAUGCCCUGCUUCCAGGAAAAGCCUCUAAGCAUCAGGUAACAUCAAAUCGUACCCCAAACCGACACAGGUGGUCAGGUAGAGAAUACCAAGGCGCUUGAGAGAACUCGGGUGAAGGAACUAGGCAAAAUGGUGCCGUAACUUCGGGAGAAGGCACGCUGAUAUGUAGGUGAAGUCCCUCGCGGAUGGAGCUGAAAUCAGUCGAAGAUACCAGCUGGCUGCAACUGUUUAUUAAAAACACAGCACUGUGCAAACACGAAAGUGGACGUAUACGGUGUGACGCCUGCCCGGUGCCGGAAGGUUAAUUGAUGGGGUCAGCGCAAGCGAAGCUCUUGAUCGAAGCCCCGGUAAACGGCGGCCGUAACUAUAACGGUCCUAAGGUAGCGAAAUUCCUUGUCGGGUAAGUUCCGACCUGCACGAAUGGCGUAAUGAUGGCCAGGCUGUCUCCACCCGAGACUCAGUGAAAUUGAACUCGCUGUGAAGAUGCAGUGUACCCGCGGCAAGACGGAAAGACCCCGUGAACCUUUACUAUAGCUUGACACUGAACAUUGAGCCUUGAUGUGUAGGAUAGGUGGGAGGCUUUGAAGUGUGGACGCCAGUCUGCAUGGAGCCGACCUUGAAAUACCACCCUUUAAUGUUUGAUGUUCUAACGUGGACCCGUGAUCCGGGUUGCGGACAGUGUCUGGUGGGUAGUUUGACUGGGGCGGUCUCCUCCUAAAGAGUAACGGAGGAGCACGAAGGUUGGCUAAUCCUGGUCGGACAUCAGGAGGUUAGUGCAAUGGCAUAAGCCAGCUUGACUGCGAGCGUGACGGCGCGAGCAGGUGCGAAAGCAGGUCAUAGUGAUCCGGUGGUUCUGAAUGGAAGGGCCAUCGCUCAACGGAUAAAAGGUACUCCGGGGAUAACAGGCUGAUACCGCCCAAGAGUUCAUAUCGACGGCGGUGUUUGGCACCUCGAUGUCGGCUCAUCACAUCCUGGGGCUGAAGUAGGUCCCAAGGGUAUGGCUGUUCGCCAUUUAAAGUGGUACGCGAGCUGGGUUUAGAACGUCGUGAGACAGUUCGGUCCCUAUCUGCCGUGGGCGCUGGAGAACUGAGGGGGGCUGCUCCUAGUACGAGAGGACCGGAGUGGACGCAUCACUGGUGUUCGGGUUGUCAUGCCAAUGGCACUGCCCGGUAGCUAAAUGCGGAAGAGAUAAGUGCUGAAAGCAUCUAAGCACGAAACUUGCCCCGAGAUGAGUUCUCCCUGACCCUUUAAGGGUCCUGAAGGAACGUUGAAGACGACGACGUUGAUAGGCCGGGUGUGUAAGCGCAGCGAUGCGUUGAGCUAACCGGUACUAAUGAACCGUGAGGCUUAACCUUACAACGCCGAAGGUGUUU
RNAcentral lists this ribosomal RNA (2534 nucleotides) under Escherichia coli. RNAcentral's name for it is "partial 23S ribosomal RNA". It matches the Rfam family "Bacterial large subunit ribosomal RNA", at positions 430 to 2925 of the family's 2925-position model. The record is from RNAcentral. Lineage: Bacteria; Pseudomonadati; Pseudomonadota; Gammaproteobacteria; Enterobacterales; Enterobacteriaceae.